GACGAACGCUGGCGGCGUGCUUAACACAUGCAAGUCGAACGGAAAGGCCCUGCUUGCCGGGUACUCGAGUGGCGAACGGGUGAGUAACACGUGGGUGAUCUGCCCUGCACUUCGGGAUAAGCUUGGGAAACUGGGUCUAAUACCGGAUAGGAGCCAUCUUUAGUGUGGUGGUUGGAAAGUUUUUUCGGUGUAGGAUGAGCUCGCGGCCUAUCAGCUUGUUGGUGGGGUAAUGGCCUACCAAGGCGGCGACGGGUAGCCGGCCUGAGAGGGUGUACGGCCACAUUGGGACUGAGAUACGGCCCAGACUCCUACGGGAGGCAGCAGUGGGGAAUAUUGCACAAUGGGAGCAAGCCUGAGGCAGCGACGCCGCGUGGGGGAUGAAGGCCUUCGGGUUGUAAACGCCUUUCGCUAGGGACGAAGCUUUUUUGUGACGGUACCUAGAUAAGAAGCACCGGCUAACUACGUG
Molecule: ribosomal RNA, 466 nt
Filed under: uncultured bacterium
Lineage: Bacteria
Description: partial 16S ribosomal RNA
Rfam family: Bacterial small subunit ribosomal RNA
Source: RNAcentral